CGGCGCCCCAAGUGGCAAUCGCGUUUAUUGGGCCUAAAGCGUCCGUAGCCGGACUGAUAAAUCCGCUGUGAAAUGGUUGCGCUUAACGUAACCGCGUGCAGUGGACACUGUUAGUCUCGAGACCGGGAGGAGCAAGAGGUAUGCCUUGGGGACUGGUAAAAUGGUAUAAUCCAAGGUAGACCACCGAUGGCGAAGGCAUCUUGCCAGAACGGAUCUGACGGUGAGGGACGAAAGCCAGGGGAGCGAACCGGAUUAGAUACCCGAGUAGUCC
Molecule: ribosomal RNA, 271 nt
Filed under: uncultured archaeon
Lineage: Archaea
Description: partial 16S ribosomal RNA
Rfam family: Archaeal small subunit ribosomal RNA
Source: RNAcentral